AUAGUGAUGGUUUCACCGCUCCCUAUAACGUUCCUGGAUGUACUUCCUGAUCCAAGCUCCUCUGCAGUGUUUGUGAAAAAUAUCUCAAUGAGGAAUCGUCUGACCUUCUGAAACCAAAAAUGAGAUACUUCAAUCAGUUAUUUCCAAUAAUGCAAGGAAGAGUCUUCAUUUGUCUGUUACUGUUUGGUUUUCACACUGUGCUGUCAGAGAUAUUCGAUGUGUUUGGACCGGAUGAUCCCAUCACAGUCUCUGUGGGUAAAGAUGUUGUAC
Long non-coding RNA from Hemiscyllium ocellatum (epaulette shark), 270 nucleotides. RefSeq lists it as uncharacterized. NCBI's taxonomy places the organism in Eukaryota, Metazoa, Chordata, Chondrichthyes, Orectolobiformes, Hemiscylliidae. The record is from RefSeq and is a predicted model, not a curated record. The transcript is spliced from 3 exons.